GACGAACGCUGGCGGCGUGCCUAAUACAUGCAAGUAGAACGCACAGUUUAUACCGUAGCUUGCUCCACCAUAGACUGUGAGUUGCGAACGGGUGAGUAACGCGUAGGUAACCUGCCUGGUAGCGGGGGAUAACUAUUGGAAACGAUAGCUAAUACCGCAUAAUAUUGAUUAUUGCAUGAUAAUUGAUUGAAAGAUGCUAUUGCAUCACUACCAGAUGGACCUGCGUUGUAUUAGCUAGUAGGUGAGGUAACGGCCCACCUAGGCGACGAUACAUAGCCGACCUCAGAGGGGGAUAGGCAUAGCUGGGCUGGGGGCACGGCCCAGACUCCUACGAGUGGCAGAAGUCGGGAAUCCUCGGCAAUGGACGAAAGUCUGAACGAGCAACGCUGCGUGAGUGCAGAAGGCAUUCGGAUCGUGAAGGUCUGGUGUAAGAGAGGAACGGGUGUGAGAGUUGAAAGUUCACACUGUGACGGUACCGUACCAGAAAGGUACGGCUAACUACGUG
This 505-nucleotide ribosomal RNA is filed under the name uncultured bacterium. Its description in RNAcentral is "partial 16S ribosomal RNA". It matches the Rfam family "Bacterial small subunit ribosomal RNA", at positions 28 to 507 of the family's 1533-position model. The record is from RNAcentral.